UACCUGGUUGAUCCUGCCAGUAGUCAUAUGCUUGUCUCAAAGACUAAGCCAUGCAUGUCUAAGUAUAAGCUUUAUACUGUGAAACUGCGAAUGGCUCAUUAAAUCAGUUAUAGUUUAUUUGAUGGUGCUUCCUACUCGGAUAACCGUAGGAAAACUAGAGCUAAUACGUGCGUAUAAUCCCGACCUCACGGAAGGGACGUAUUUAUUAGAUAAGAGGCCGACCGGGGCCUCCCCCGACCUUCGGUGAAUCAUGAUAACUUUACGAAUCGCAUGGCCUUGCGCCGGCGAUGUUUCAUUCAAAUUUCUGCCCUAUCAACUUUCGACGGUAGGGUAGUGGCCUACCGUGGUGGUAACGGGUGACGGAGGAUUAGGGUUCGAUUCCGGAGAGGGAGCCUGAGAAACGGCUACCACAUCCAAGGAAGGCAGCAGGCGCGCAAAUUACCCAAAUCCCAACUCGGGGAGGUAGUGACAAGAAAUAACGAUGCUCCGGCCAUCGGUCGGGUAAUCGGAAUGAGGACAAUUUAAAUCCCUUAUCGAGGAUCAAUUGGAGGGCAAGUCUGGUGCCAGCAGCCGCGGUAAUUCCAGCUCCAAUAGCGUAUAUUUAAGUUGCUGCGGUUAAAAAGCUCGUAGUCGGAUUUCGGGUGGUGCCUGCCGGUCCGCCUUUGGUGUGUACUGGUAGGCGCCACCUUUCUGCCGAGGACGGGUUCCUGGGCUUAGCUGUCUGGGCCCCGGAGUCGGCGAUGCCACUUUGAGUAAAUUAGGGUGUUUAAAGCAGGCUUAUGCUCUGUAUACACUAGCAUGGGAUGACA
Molecule: ribosomal RNA, 809 nt
Filed under: uncultured eukaryote
Lineage: Eukaryota
Description: SSU rRNA
Rfam family: Eukaryotic small subunit ribosomal RNA
Source: RNAcentral